Molecule: ribosomal RNA, 935 nt
Filed under: uncultured bacterium
Lineage: Bacteria
Description: bacterial SSU rRNA
Rfam family: Bacterial small subunit ribosomal RNA
Source: RNAcentral
UCGAGGGGCAGCGGGGGUGAUGGCUUGCCAUCACCUGCCGGCGACCGGCGCACGGGUGAGUAACACGUAUGCAACCUGCCCGCCACAGGGGGAUAAGCGGAAGAAAUUCCGUCUAAUACCGCGUGACGCGGCAUCGGGGCAUCCCGGUGCCGCCAAAGGGAUUACCGGUGGCGGAUGGGCAUGCGGCGCAUUAGCUAGUCGGCGGGGUAACGGCCCACCGAGGCGACGAUGCGUAGGGGUUCUGAGAGGAAGGUCCCCCACACUGGUACUGAGACACGGACCAGACUCCUACGGGAGGCAGCAGUGAGGAAUAUUGGUCAAUGGGCGGGAGCCUGAACCAGCCAAGUCGCGUGAGGGAUGACGGUCCUACGGAUUGUAAACCUCUUUUGCCGGGGAGCAAGCGUGCGUUCGUGAACGCGCGUCGAGAGUACCCGGAGAAAAAGCAUCGGCUAACUCCGUGCCAGCAGCCGCGGUAAUACGGAGGAUGCGAGCGUUAUCCGGAUUUAUUGGGUUUAAAGGGUGCGUAGGCGGGAUGCCAAGUCAGCGGUAAAAAAGCGGUGCUCAACGCCGUCGAGCCGUUGAAACUGGCGUUCUUGAGUGGGCGAGAAGUAUGCGGAAUGCGUGGUGUAGCGGUGAAAUGCAUAGAUAUCACGCAGAACUCCGAUUGCGAAGGCAGCAUACCGGCGCCCUACUGACGCUGAGGCACGAAAGCGUGGGUAUCGAACAGGAUUAGAUACCCUGGUAGUCCACGCAGUAAACGAUGAAUGCUAACUGUCCGGUGCGAAUGAGCGCUGGGCGGUACAGCGAAAGCGUUAAGCAUUCCACCUGGGGAGUACGCCGGCAACGGUGAAACUCAAAGGAAUUGACGGGGGCCCGCACAAGCGGAGGAACAUGUGGUUUAAUUCGAUGAUACGCGAGGAACCUUACCCGGGCUC